CGGAGAAUGUUAUCACGGGAGACACACGGCGGGUGCUAACGUCCGUCGUGAAGAGGGAAACAACCCAGACCGCCAGCUAAGGUCCCAAAGUCAUGGUUAAGUGGGAAACGAUGUGGGAAGGCCCAGACAGCCAGGAUGUUGGCUUAGAAGCAGCCAUCAUUUAAAGAAAGCGUAAUAGCUCACUGGUCGAGUCGGCCUGCGCGGAAGAUGUAACGGGGCUAAACCAUGCACCGAAGCUGCGGCAGCGACGCUGAUGCGUUGUUGGGUAGGGGAGCGUUCUGUAAGCCUGCGAAGGUGUGUCGUGAGGCAUGCUGGAGGUAUCAGAAGUGCGAAUGCUGACAUAAGUAACGAUAAAGCGGGUGAAAAGCCCGCUCGCCGGAAGACCAAGGGUUCCUGUCCAACGUUAAUCGGGGCAGGGUGAGUCGACCCCUAAGGCGAGGCCGAAAGGCGUAGUCGAUGGGAAACGGGUUAAUAUUCCCGUACUUGGUGUUACUGCGAAGGGGGGACGGAGAAGGCUAUGUUGGCCGGGCGACGGUUGUCCCGGUUUAAGCGUAUAGGUGUGUGUUCCAGGUAAAUCCGGUUCACUUUAACACUGAGGCGUGAUGACGAGGCGCUACGGUGCUGAAGCAACAAAUGCCCUGCUUCCAGGAAAAGCCUCUAAGCAUCAGGUAACAUCAAAUCGUACCCCAAACCGACACAGGUGGUCAGGUAGAGAAUACCAAGGCGCUUGAGAGAACUCGGGUGAAGGAACUAGGCAAAAUGGUGCCGUAACUUCGGGAGAAGGCACGCUGACAUGUAGGUGAAGUGAUUUACUCAUGGAGCUGAAGUCAGUCGAAGAUACCAGCUGGCUGCAACUGUUUAUUAAAAACACAGCACUGUGCAAACACGAAAGUGGACGUAUACGGUGUGACGCCUGCCCGGUGCCGGAAGGUUAAUUGAUGGGGUCAGCGCAAGCGAAGCUCCUGAUCGAAGCCCCGGUAAACGGCGGCCGUAACUAUAACGGUCCUAAGGUAGCGAAAUUCCUUGUCGGGUAAGUUCCGACCUGCACGAAUGGCGUAAUGAUGGCCAGGCUGUCUCCACCCGAGACUCAGUGAAAUUGAACUCGCUGUGAAGAUGCAGUGUACCCGCGGCAAGACGGAAAGACCCCGUGAACCUUUACUAUAGCUUGACACUGAACAUUGAGCCUUGAUGUGUAGGAUAGGUGGGAGGCUUUGAAGUGUGGACGCCAGUCUGCAUGGAGCCGACCUUGAAAUACCACCCUUUAAUGUUUGAUGUUCUAACGUGGACCCGUGAUCCGGGUUGCGGACAGUGUCUGGUGGGUAGUUUGACUGGGGCGGUCUCCUCCUAAAGAGUAACGGAGGAGCACGAAGGUUGGCUAAUCCUGGUCGGACAUCAGGAGGUUAGUGCAAUGGCAUAAGCCAGCUUGACUGCGAGCGUGACGGCGCGAGCAGGUGCGAAAGCAGGUCAUAGUGAUCCGGUGGUUCUGAAUGGAAGGGCCAUCGCUCAACGGAUAAAAGGUACUCCGGGGAUAACAGGCUGAUACCGCCCAAGAGUUCAUAUCGACGGCGGUGUUUGGCACCUCGAUGUCGGCUCAUCACAUCCUGGGGCUGAAGUAGGUCCCAAGGGUAUGGCUGUUCGCCAUUUAAAGUGGUACGCGAGCUGGGUUUAGAACGUCGUGAGACAGUUCGGUCCCUAUCUGCCGUGGGCGCUGGAGAACUGAGGGGGGCUGCUCCUAGUACGAGAGGACCGGAGUGGACGCAUCACUGGUGUUCGGGUUGUCAUGCCAAUGGCACUGCCCGGUAGCUAAAUGCGGAAGAGAUAAGUGCUGAAAGCAUCUAAGCACGAAACUUGCCCCGAGAUGAGUUCUCCCUGAGACUU
RNAcentral lists this ribosomal RNA (1878 nucleotides) under Salmonella enterica subsp. enterica serovar Oranienburg. RNAcentral describes it as "bacterial LSU rRNA". It matches the Rfam family "Bacterial large subunit ribosomal RNA", at positions 963 to 2823 of the family's 2925-position model. The record is from RNAcentral. RNAcentral also lists the same sequence under 1 other name. Lineage: Bacteria; Pseudomonadati; Pseudomonadota; Gammaproteobacteria; Enterobacterales; Enterobacteriaceae.